UAGGGAAUCUUCGGCAAUGGGGGCAAACCCUGACCGAGCAACGCCGCGUGAGUGAAGAAGGUUUUCGGAUCGUAAAGCUCUGUUGUAAGAGAAGAAUGUGUGUGAGAGUGGAAAGUUCACACAGUGACGGUAACUUACCAGAAAGGGACGGCUAACUACGUGCCAGCAGCCGCGGUAAUACGUAGGUCCCGAGCGUUGUCCGGAUUUAUUGGGCGUAAAGCGAGCGCAGGCGGUUUAAUAAGUCUGAAGUUAAAGGCAGUGGCUUAACCAUUGUUCGCUUUGGAAACUGUUAAACUUGAGUG
RNAcentral lists this ribosomal RNA (302 nucleotides) under uncultured Streptococcus sp. RNAcentral describes it as "bacterial SSU rRNA". It matches the Rfam family "Bacterial small subunit ribosomal RNA", at positions 355 to 648 of the family's 1533-position model. The record is from RNAcentral. Lineage: Bacteria; Bacillati; Bacillota; Bacilli; Lactobacillales; Streptococcaceae.